GAUGAACGCUGGCGGCGUGCUUAAUACAUGCAAGUCGAACGGAAAGGCCUCUGCUUGCAGGGGUACUCGAGUGGCGAACGGGUGAGUAACACGUGGGUGAUCUGCCCUGCACUUCGGGAUAAGCCUGGGAAACUGGGUCUAAUACCGGAUAGGACAAUGGUUUGGAUGCUGUUGUGGAAAGUUUUUCGGUGUGGGAUGAGCUCGCGGCCUAUAAGCUUGUUGGUGGGGUAAUGGCCUACCAAGGCGUCGACGGGUAGCCGGCCUGAGAGGGUGUAUGGCCAGAUUGGGACUGAGAUACGGCCCAGACUCCUACGGGAGGCAGCAGGGGGGAAUAUUGGACAAAGGGCGCAAGCCUGAGGCAGCGACGCCGCGUGGGGGAUGACGGCCUUCGGGUUGUAAACUCCUAUCGCUAGGGACGAAGCGUUUUUGUGACGGUACCUGGAGAAGAAGCACCGGCUAACUACGUG
Molecule: ribosomal RNA, 467 nt
Filed under: uncultured bacterium
Lineage: Bacteria
Description: partial 16S ribosomal RNA
Rfam family: Bacterial small subunit ribosomal RNA
Source: RNAcentral